AUUAUAGCAGAUAUAGUUCGACUGCGCUGGGGUUCACGUGCUGAAACCCCCAAGUCAACUAGAAGAUCAGGUGGAAAGGGUUCUUCAAAUGAUUCGGUUAAUAGUGAGGCAUGGUUGUUUUCUGGUCAUGACCCCGAAGAAAACAGUGAUAAAACUGUGGAAAGGGAAAGAAGCAGCAUGGCGAAAGAAGUUUNGUCACCUGCAACUAAUGGAAACUUCUAGUCGAGGCCAGGGAAAAGAGUCUGACAUGAUUGGAUCAAAGAACAAAAUAAGACAACUUGAAGGAGAUACAUCAUCUUCUCCAACUAUAUUAAAAAGUGGGUCCACAACAAAAGGUAUUUCCUCUCCUGAAGAGGAAAACCUUGUUUGGAGACAAGAUGGAAAGAGUUCUCAAGGAACAAGGAGCCAAGAUGGAAAGAAUUCUCAAGUUUUCCCUCCUAGCACAGAAGUUGGGGAAGCAUCAUUUGUACCAUUGCCUUCCAGUGGCAUGAAUACUCUAAUUGUAGAAGAAAGUUAUGGUAGGGCUACAACUGACGCGACUAUUAGUGGCUCAACGGAUCUAAUGGAGCAACCUGCUAGUGCAAAGUUAACUGAAGUGUCAAGCCUUGAUGGGAAUGAUGGAGUGUUGAAACAAAGGAGACUUCAGCGGAACAAGCAAGUCUUAAGGGACAGAUUUGAUGAAUGGGAAGAAGCAUAUAUACGUGAAAGUGAGCAGCGAAAAGUUGAUGAAAUGUUUAUGAGAGAAGCACUGCUAGAAGCCAAGAAGGCUGCUGAUACUUGGGAGGUACCUGUUGGGGCUGUUCUGGUGCAAAAUGGGAAAAUUAUUGCUCGUGGCUAUAAUUUAGUGGAGGAGUUACGGGACUCCACUGCCCAUGCAGAAAUGAUUUGUAUACGAGAGGCUUCAAACCAUCUCCGGAGCUGGAGGCUUGCGGAGGCUACACUUUAUGUAACACUUGAACCAUGCCCUAUGUGUGCUGGAGCAAUACUUCAAGCAAGAAUAGACACGCUUGUGUGGGGAGCUCCCAAUAAGCUUCUUGGAGCCGAUGGAAGCUGGAUCAGACUUUUUCCUGGAGGAGAAAAUGGCUCAGAACGGACAGAUAAGCCAGCUCCUCCAGUCCAUCCUUUCCAUCCAAAAGUGACAAUCCGGCGAGGGAUAAUGGCAUCAGAGUGUGCGGAUGUGAUGCAGCAAUUCUUCCAGCUUAGGAGAAAGAAAAAGGUGAAGAGUGAAGAUUUGCCUCCCCAGCCAUCUCUUCCUAUUGCGAGUCAUCAAUCAAAAAUCCUUAGUAAGAUGCAUGAUAUUUUCCAUGCAUUCUUGUGUUUGUAAGGGAUAGUGGAAC
This 1337-nucleotide unclassified non-coding RNA is filed under the name Hevea brasiliensis (rubber tree). The record is from RNAcentral. Lineage: Eukaryota; Viridiplantae; Streptophyta; Magnoliopsida; Malpighiales; Euphorbiaceae.